CCUACGGGUGGCAGCAGUCGAGAAUCAUUCACAAUGGGGGAAACCCUGAUGGUGCGACGCCGCGUGGGGGAAUGAAGGUCUUCGGAUUGUAAACCCCUGUCAUGUGGGAGCAAAUUAAAAAGAUCGUACCACACGAGGAAGAGACGGCUAACUCUGUGCCAGCAGCCGCGGUAAUACAGAGGUCUCAAGCGUUGUUCGGAAUCACUGGGCGUAAAGCGUGCGUAGGCUGUUUCGUAAGUCGUGUGUGAAAGGCGCGGGCUCAACCCGCGGACGGCACAUGAUACUGCGAGACUAGAGUAAUGGAGGGGGAACCGGAAUUCACGGUGUAGCAGUGAAAUGCGUAGAUAUCGAGAGGAACACUCGUGGCGAAGGCGGGUUCCUGGACAUUAACUGACGCUGAGGCACGAAGGCCAGGGGAGCGAAAGGGAUUAGAUACCCCAGUAGUC
RNAcentral lists this ribosomal RNA (446 nucleotides) under uncultured bacterium. Its description in RNAcentral is "partial 16S ribosomal RNA". It matches the Rfam family "Bacterial small subunit ribosomal RNA", at positions 338 to 795 of the family's 1533-position model. The record is from RNAcentral.